CUGCUUUCCUCACGUUCGAUCAGUCAUUGCUCCACGAAAUGAUGUUGGAUGCAAAAAUGGGGGGUUCCUGUGUUGCGUACCUAUUGUGAUGGGAAAUCGGUUGAUUUCAUUGUGCCUCUUUCGUCCUCGCUUCCUCUCGGAAGUUCGGAUGGACUAGACGGAUGGGCUUGUGUUCCACGGACGGACGUCUCACAYGAACGUUCCGACGGACCACGAGCGCAAUCUUGUUCUCUCGGAUGCGGAAAGUCCCUAAUAAUGGGCGUGGGUCAAUGGCUCUCGGUCCCGAAUCGGUAAGCGAUGAUCGCUUUACAUGGGAAUGACGCUCUUGCCUCGUCUUCGAUCACGGGGAGCGGACGGGAAACGCUCUCGCGAUGGAUCAUGCGUGGCGGACGUCGUGAAGGAAUGCUACCUGGUUGAUCCUGCCAGUAGUCAUAUGCUUGUCUCAAAGAUUAAGCCAUGCAUGUGUAAGUAUGAACUAAUUCAGA
RNAcentral lists this unclassified non-coding RNA (485 nucleotides) under Kunzea aff. peduncularis (i). Its description in RNAcentral is "partial contains external transcribed spacer and 18S ribosomal RNA". The stretch from base 407 to 485 matches the Rfam family "Eukaryotic small subunit ribosomal RNA", at positions 1 to 79 of the family's 1831-position model. The record is from RNAcentral. Lineage: Eukaryota; Viridiplantae; Streptophyta; Magnoliopsida; Myrtales; Myrtaceae.